Molecule: long non-coding RNA, 692 nt
Organism: Pan troglodytes (chimpanzee)
Lineage: Eukaryota; Metazoa; Chordata; Mammalia; Primates; Hominidae
Exons: 2
Source: RefSeq, a predicted model, not a curated record
GUGGCUUUGCUGGAGGGACAGACAGUUGAUCAUAGUGGAGCUGGUGAGAGGAAGCUGCACCCAAAAGCCAUGGCCGGGAACCUGGAUCUGACUGCAGGGAAACAGAAGCGUGGUGGGCGCUGGGCGAUGAUGGAAUUUCUAACAAAUGCUUUGUUUCUGCUAAAGCUAACUUGCGCUUCCAUCUCUGGCAUCUCCUCCACUUCCCAGAUGAGGACGCAAGCAAGCGCACUCUUCCGAUGUCACUUCUCACGGGAGGCCUCUGUGAUUGCAGAAGGAAAGGCCCCGGCAGAACUCACCAUCUGCCGCCUGAGGCUCCACCACCUCGAAGACAUCCUUGCAAGAUCCACAGACUGGCCCACACCAGGAGGUGUCUGUCUUCUUCUUGUGUCUUCUUCACUCCCCUGGACUGGUUCGUGAACCCCUUCUCCUAUCUCUGUUUCCUCUGGAUGUUAAAUUCUACUUUCUUUGUUGUGGAACGUUAACCUGUAACAUGUAUAUACUGAUUAAGUACACUCUUACGUUGUCGUGUGCAAUAUUGGCUGACGUGUGCAGUGGCUUGAGCCCGUGUGACUGCGGCUCUCACUACCGAGGGAAAAGGAGCACUAAGCAGCAUGCCUCCUUGGGAACGCCGUGUGGCUCGUGGCUUUAGGGAUUGAAAUAGCCUCAAUAAAAUUCUGACAUUGUGAAAGACA